AACGAACGCUGGCGGCAGGCCUAACACAUGCAAGUCGAGCGCCCUUUCGGGGGAGCGGCGGACGGGUGAGUAACGCGUGGGAAUAUGCCCUUCUCUACGGAAUAGCCUCGGGAAACUGAGAGUAAUACCGUAUACGCCCUGUGGGGGAAAGAUUUAUCGGGGAAGGAUUAGCCCGCGUUGGAUUAGGUAGUUGGUGGGGUAAUGGCCUACCAAGCCGACGAUCCAUAGCUGGUUUGAGAGGAUGAUCAGCCACACUGGGACUGAGACACGGCCCAGACUCCUACGGGAGGCAGCAGUGGGGAAUCUUAGACAAUGGGGGCAACCCUGAGCUAGCCAUGCCGCGUGAGUGAUGAAGGCCUUAGGGUUGUAAAGCUCUUUCAGCUGGGAAGAUAAUGACGGUACCAGCAGAAGAAGCCCCGGCUAACUCCG
This 429-nucleotide ribosomal RNA is filed under the name uncultured bacterium. RNAcentral's name for it is "partial 16S ribosomal RNA". It matches the Rfam family "Bacterial small subunit ribosomal RNA", at positions 29 to 505 of the family's 1533-position model. The record is from RNAcentral.